GGGCGAAGCCUGAUCCAGCCAUGCCGCGUGGUGUGAAGAAGGUCUUCGGAUUGUAAAGCACUUUAAGUUGGGAGGAAGGGCAGUAAGUUAAUACCUUGCUGUUUUGACGUUACCAACAGAAUAAGCACCGGCUAACUUCGUGCCAGCAGCCGCGGUAAUACGAAGGGUGCAAGCGUUAAUCGGAAUUACUGGGCGUAAAGCGCGCGUAGGUGGUUCAGCAAGUUGGAUGUGAAAUCCCCGGGCUCAACCUGGGAACUGCAUCCAAAACUACUGAGCUAGAGUACGGUAGAGGGUGGUGGAAUUUCC
This 306-nucleotide ribosomal RNA is filed under the name uncultured Pseudomonas sp. RNAcentral describes it as "bacterial SSU rRNA". It matches the Rfam family "Bacterial small subunit ribosomal RNA", at positions 373 to 671 of the family's 1533-position model. The record is from RNAcentral. Lineage: Bacteria; Pseudomonadati; Pseudomonadota; Gammaproteobacteria; Pseudomonadales; Pseudomonadaceae.